CUGAGAGGACUGUAAUGACACUUUUUCUGCUCUUGUUUCUAGAAUUAGAGAGGAUUUCAGGACAGAGGAAGAGCAGAUGAAAAUGAGGACUGACCUUCAACCAAAUAUUUAAGAACCACACAGAGCCUGAUGUGCUCCACACUGCAUGAUUCAGUGCGAAGGAAGCAUACCUCAAUGAGGUCAUCAGGAAACAAAGAUAUAGCAGCGCUGAAAGGAACGGCAGUGGGACAUUGCUCAGAAUACUAUCGAAGAAUUCAAGCUUUUCUUAAACGACAGCACUCUUCAUUUCAGAGCUGACUUGUCAAAGAGACUAAGCCAUCAGCAGUUUAAAUUGUAAGAAUAAUCUUCUUGAAAGAACU
Molecule: long non-coding RNA, 359 nt
Filed under: Numida meleagris (helmeted guineafowl)
Lineage: Eukaryota; Metazoa; Chordata; Aves; Galliformes; Numididae
Description: lncRNA (ENSNMEG00000014544.1)
Source: RNAcentral